Microcebus murinus (gray mouse lemur) is the source of this 2431-nucleotide long non-coding RNA. The record is from Ensembl. NCBI's taxonomy places the organism in Eukaryota, Metazoa, Chordata, Mammalia, Primates, Cheirogaleidae.
AACAGUCCAUGUUAAGCACUCAAAGUCCUGAGUCUGGACCAUGCAGGUCAGUCCUGGGUACAGCUGGAUUCUCUCACCUGUUGGAAAGGAGAGGACUGCAGCGGGUGACGGCAGGCAGGAAGGGAACCUUCGGGAGCCUGUCAGUGAAUUGCUCUGAUGGUGCCAGAGGCCAACAGUGGGGACCAAGUGUCCCACAGGCAGAUCCCCAGCGCUGAGGAGGGAAGGAAUGAUGAGGCCCAGAGUAAAACAGGCCACCAGUGUUUGUUCCAAUAGCAAUAACACACGGAGAAAGCCCUCACACUGUGAUGGUGUUUGGUCUCUUUGAAGCUCUGAAAUCCAUGAAUUCCCCAGGGCAGGUGCUAUUAGCUUCCCUUUGGAAGAGAGGAUCAGUGAGCUUCCCAGGAAUCUGUGAGGUGGGGGCCCUCCCCACAUACCAGAAUCACUGAGGCCCGUCCCGAUGCACCCUGUCCUGCUGCACCCUGUCCUGCCCAUGCCCAUCCUGUGCUACCUUUGCCCUGGUGCCAGGAGAAACCUGUCCACCCAAAACAUGCGGAGGCGCCUGGCUGCCCUGCUUACCCUCCCCCCACCCCCCCAGGGCAGCCCAGUGGGCAGGACGGCCUGGCUGGCUCUGCUUGGAGACACUGAGUGUCACACAGCAACAGUAUCCCACCUUGGGCCUUUACCGCAGGUCCUCACCCUCCCACCCCUGCCAUGGCCUCCACUGGCCCAGGAGACGCUUCAGCCUCUUCCUGUCCUCCCCUCCCCUCUCCUUGAUCCUCCCCUCUACCCAGAAACAUUCCUCCUGCUCCACAAAGAAGAGCUCCUCUCUUCUCUGCUCUGUGGCUUUCUGGAAGGAAGCACCACCUCUCUCAGAAAAACAGUGAUCCUCGUGUCACUCCUUGCUCUUGCCCCAUCAAGAUGGAUCCAGGUAAGCACCGUGGCUGGGGGGCUGGGGGGUGAAAGAAGGAAGAGAGAGGGAGGAAAGAGGUGAAGUCAGGAUGAUCAGUAAGCCGUAUCUACUGCACACCAAAAACAUGGUUGUGUGUGUUUGUGUAAAGGUAGUGGCAGGGUCCGCAAUGACAACAAGCCCUUACAACAUGUUACAGUUGGGGAAAUGUACUUCUCCAUCCUUCAUUUCACUCAAUAUUCAACCUGAGGAGUAACACAUUAAAGUGCAGGUCCCACUGUACACACGGGGCCCUGGAGAGCUAGAGGUACAUUCAGGGUAAGGCCAUGGAGAUGGGGCUGGGAUGGAGCCCAGAACCCACCUCUCAGCAGCUGUGCCGUUGGCUCCCCUCAAAAGGAACAAAAGACCAUUCUGGUCUUUAAGAAAUAGCAGGCCGGAAGCCAUGGCUCAGGCCUAUAAUCCUAGGACUCCUGGGGGCUGAGGCUGGUGGAUUGCUCAAGGUCAGGAGUUCCAAACAAGCCUGAGCAAAAGCAAGAACCCAUCUCUACUAAAAAUAGAAAGAAAUUAAUUGGCCAACUAAAAAACAUAUAGAAAAAAUUAGCCGGGCAUUGUGGCACAUGCCUGUAGUCCCAGCUACUCGGGAGGCUGAGGCAGUAGGAACUCUUAAGCCCAGGAGAUUGAAGUUGCUGGAGCUAGGCUGACGACACAGCAAUCUAGCCUGGGCAACAGAGUGAGACUCUGUCUCAGAAAAAAAAAAAAAAAAACCAGCAGGCAAUUCCCACCAAGGGAGCAUUUACAAACACCCAGGACCACUCAGCUAGGCUGCUGCAGAGUGAGCCCACUGCACCCACAGCUGGGCAGGCUGAUGGCCCAGUCCACGUGGAUUUCCUGUAGGAAGGCACCACAGAGUUGAGCCUGAGAGAUUUCCCUGUGGCAAGAGGCAUCUGCAAAGGCCAGGCUCUGAGACCAGAAGGUCACAAGCAGGAGCCAAGAAACAGCUGAGAGACUGAGCAGAGACAAGGCCUGAGAUAAGGAAGACCUGAGGAAGGUGGGGCAGAUGGGGAGGUUGGGGUGGCAGUGGCCUGGAAGUGGAAGAGAACAAUCAGGGUUUGCCCCUGCAAAGGGCCAGACUCAGUAUCAUGGAUUUGGCUGAAGUUGGAAGAACACAGAACUGACAGAGUGGGGACAAGAACCCACAUGUCCUAACUGGCCCCACUGCACCCAGGGAAACCCAGCCAUCUCUCAGAGGAACACAGAGAUGAACCUUGACUUUCAGUACAUGCCUGUUGUUGAGUGAAUGAAUGUAGGAAUAGUUGUUGGCACAGGGAUUGGGGCACAAGAUCAGCGCUAGGGAGAAGACAAGGUUUUCACUGCAGAACAAAAUGACCAAUGCUGAUUCUUUUUUCCCCUUCCUCUCCCACAGGUCCGAAGGUAGGAAUCUUCCCCAACCCUCUCCCCUUUUUCCAUCCCAUUGUCAUUUCCUCCAGACAUCCAGCAUCCUUCCCACACCCUCGGGGAGCAGCC